CGGGACGGUCGCUGGGCUCGUAGCUCCGGGCGCAGAAUGGCAGCGGCCGGCGGAGUUUUACAACUUUUCCCCGAGUACCUCUGUGUAUCGGCCCGCCUGGGCUGCCGCCACAAAACACCACAGGCCGGCGGGGUGGCUGCAGCCACGGAGAUGGGUUUCUCACCGUUCUGGAGGCUGGGAGCUCAAGACCACGUCUCCCUGAAAAUCAAUGGAGCAAUGUCCUCGGGGGAGAAUUAACAAAAACAAACAGUACGACGCCCACGGGCGAGGAGAGUGGAAGGGCCCACGAACCUUCUUGACGUCCCUGACCAGCAGGUGAAGCGUGUUGGGCGGACCCAGUCUC
Eptesicus fuscus (big brown bat) is the source of this 343-nucleotide long non-coding RNA. RefSeq lists it as uncharacterized. Lineage: Eukaryota; Metazoa; Chordata; Mammalia; Chiroptera; Vespertilionidae. The record is from RefSeq and is a predicted model, not a curated record. The transcript is spliced from 3 exons.